UUUUUUUGAUUUUUUUUU
This 18-nucleotide small RNA is filed under the name Arabidopsis thaliana (thale cress). RNAcentral's name for it is "ATSL158750". Lineage: Eukaryota; Viridiplantae; Streptophyta; Magnoliopsida; Brassicales; Brassicaceae. The record is from RNAcentral.